Molecule: ribosomal RNA, 740 nt
Filed under: Escherichia coli
Lineage: Bacteria; Pseudomonadati; Pseudomonadota; Gammaproteobacteria; Enterobacterales; Enterobacteriaceae
Description: partial 23S ribosomal RNA
Rfam family: Bacterial large subunit ribosomal RNA
Source: RNAcentral
AGGGGAGUGAAAAAGAACCUGAAACCGUGUACGUACAAGCAGUGGGAGCACGCUUAGGCGUGUGACUGCGUACCUUUUGUAUAAUGGGUCAGCGACUUAUAUUCUGUAGCAAGGUUAACCGAAUAGGGGAGCCGAAGGGAAACCGAGUCUUAACUGGGCGUUAAGUUGCAGGGUAUAGACCCGAAACCCGGUGAUCUAGCCAUGGGCAGGUUGAAGGUUGGGUAACACUAACUGGAGGACCGAACCGACUAAUGUUGAAAAAUUAGCGGAUGACUUGUGGCUGGGGGUGAAAGGCCAAUCAAACCGGGAGAUAGCUGGUUCUCCCCGAAAGCUAUUUAGGUAGCGCCUCGUGAAUUCAUCUCCGGGGGUAGAGCACUGUUUCGGCAAGGGGGUCAUCCCGACUUACCAACCCGAUGCAAACUGCGAAUACCGGAGAAUGUUAUCACGGGAGACACACGGCGGGUGCUAACGUCCGUCGUGAAGAGGGAAACAACCCAGACCGCCAGCUAAGGUCCCAAAGUCAUGGUUAAGUGGGAAACGAUGUGGGAAGGCCCAGACAGCCAGGAUGUUGGCUUAGAAGCAGCCAUCAUUUAAAGAAAGCGUAAUAGCUCACUGGUCGAGUCGGCCUGCGCGGAAGAUGUAACGGGGCUAAACCAUGCACCGAAGCUGCGGCAGCGACGCUUAUGCGUUGUUGGGUAGGGGAGCGUUCUGUAAGCCUGUGAAGGUGUACUGUGAGGUAU